Erigeron canadensis is the source of this 983-nucleotide long non-coding RNA. RefSeq lists it as uncharacterized. The record is from RefSeq and is a predicted model, not a curated record. NCBI's taxonomy places the organism in Eukaryota, Viridiplantae, Streptophyta, Magnoliopsida, Asterales, Asteraceae. The transcript has 2 exons.
UAUCUAUAUCUCUGUGUGUAUCUAUAUCUCUAAUUUAUAUAUCAAUGUAAACCAUCCCACUGCCGCUAUCCUUUGAAACUUAUCUCUAAUUCCACUAAAUCAUAAAACCCAUAAAUUACUCUAAUUGAGUUUGAGAUGGGGUUAUGCGAUGGUGGUGGUCGAACUGCAGAUUCCCAGAAAUCUACAUAAUAGCAUGCGGUGGUGGUGGUCGAUUUGCAGAUUCCCAAAAACUUAAAAAAAUAACAAAAAGAAAACAACAACUUCUCUAUUCAAAUCAAUAACUAUUUCUGAUCAAAUCAAGAUUCCGGCAAGAAGUUGAGUUUUCCAGCAAGGUUCAAAUCGAAUAAUUUUUGCCUAAGGUUUGUUCGCGAUCAAGUGUUGAGUCGUUUGGUGGUGGAUUCAGGUCUUAACUCGAAGAAACAACAAAGAUAUCAUCAUUUUAAUCUUUCCGGCGAACUUAAAAACAGUUUUUGUUGGUUAGGGAUUGUUCUCGGUGUUAUUUAGAGUAUAUCGGUGGUGGUGUUUCGUCUUCUAAUUCGAAGAAACGAGAGAGUAAUUGCAAUUUUCAGUUUUCUGGCGAGAUUCCAUUUUUCCGGCGACAAUAAAACAGAAUACAAUUGCCAAGGAUUUGUUCGGUCUCUGAUUUAGAAUGUUUUGGUGCUAAUUUUGAGUUGUAACUCGCUGAAACGAAGGAGAAAUCGAUCUUCAAGUUUACCGGCGAAGGUGUUCACCUAUUCAUUUUCAUUGGAUAUUCCUGCAUUCAUGCACAGCAAUCGACAACGUUUCAUACUUUGAAAUUGCUUCGUAAGUUUGUUGGUACUAAACAAUCAAUUCUAAAGUCAUAACUUGUUUUAGGUGUAUUUGUGCUAAAUUUUCAAUACAUAUGGGUUAGAUUUGAAGUGGUUGAUUGGUUCACUUUAUAGCUGAAUUAGAAAUAUAUGCCGAAUUUAAUUAUACUUCAAGUUCAAUGAUUUGCUUACAUA